CCGUUCCCAUGCCGAACACGAUGGUUAAGCUUCUAAGCGCCGAUGGUACUGCAAGGGCGACCUUGUGGGAGAGUAGGACGUUGCCAGGU
This 89-nucleotide ribosomal RNA is filed under the name Clostridium tetani. Lineage: Bacteria; Bacillati; Bacillota; Clostridia; Eubacteriales; Clostridiaceae. The record is from RNAcentral.